Molecule: ribosomal RNA, 210 nt
Filed under: uncultured fungus
Lineage: Eukaryota; Fungi
Description: partial 28S ribosomal RNA
Rfam family: Eukaryotic large subunit ribosomal RNA
Source: RNAcentral
UUGCCCUAGUAACUGCGAGUGAAGCGGGAAAAGCUCAAAUUUAAAAUCUGGCGGCCUCUGUGACCGUCAGAUUUGUUAUCUAGAGAAGCGUUAUCGGCGCUGGACCGUGUACAAGUCUCUUGGAAUAGAGCGUCAUAAAGGGUGAGAAUCCCGUCUUUGACACGGACAACCAGUGCUUUGUGAUGCGCUCUCGACGAUUCGAGUUGUUUG